AUGAUACACAUAUUGUUACUGGUUAUGUGUUUGGUGACCAUUAUUACUGGUCACAGAGAUCAUGGUAUGCAGAGUGGGUUGAAAGAAGAUUUGGAAUUGGAGAGGCAAUUAAACAUCCUUAACAAGCCUCCUAUAAAGAGUAUUCAUACAAAGUCAGGAUAUAUAAUUGAUUGUGUUGACAUUAACAAACAACCUGCUUUUAAUCAUCCUUUGUUAAAAAAUCACAAAUUACAGAGAAAACCAAUUUUUGAAAGAAACAUUAGUGAAACUAGAGUUCAGAAUUCACGAAUCAAGUCAAAAUUCAUACUUGAAAAAGUUAGAUGUCCUGAAUAA
Vicia faba (fava bean) is the source of this 333-nucleotide non-coding RNA. NCBI's taxonomy places the organism in Eukaryota, Viridiplantae, Streptophyta, Magnoliopsida, Fabales, Fabaceae. The record is from the annotation of a GenBank genome assembly.